GACGAACGCUGGCGGCGUGCUUAACACAUGCAAGUCGAACGCUGAAGCACCAGCUUGCUGGUGUGGAUGAGUGGCGAACGGGUGAGUAAUACGUGAGUAACCUGCCCUUGACUCUGGGAUAAGCCCGGGAAACUGGGUCUAAUACUGGAUGCUACAUGUCACCGCAUGGUGGUGUGUGGAAAGGGUUUACUGGUCUUGGAUGGGCUCACGGCCUAUCAGCUUGUUGGUGAGGGAAUGGCUCACCAAGGCGACGACGGGUAGCCGGCCUGGGAGGGUGACCGGCCACACUGGGACUGAGACACGGCCCAGACUCCUACGGGAGGCAGCAGUGGGGAAUAUUGGACAAUGGGCGAAAGCCUGAUGCAGCGACGCCGCGGGGGGGAUGACGGCCUUCGGGUUGUAAACCUCUUUCAGCAGGGAAGAAGCCACAAGUGACGGUACCUGCAGAAGAAGCGCCGGCUAACUACGUG
RNAcentral lists this ribosomal RNA (470 nucleotides) under uncultured bacterium. RNAcentral describes it as "partial 16S ribosomal RNA". It matches the Rfam family "Bacterial small subunit ribosomal RNA", at positions 28 to 507 of the family's 1533-position model. The record is from RNAcentral.